GGCAGGACUUGGAAGAAGGCCAUUCAUUCUGUUGACUCCAGAUCCUUCCCUUCAGGAAUUUUCAAGUGAAGACAGUAAAUGUUGUGCUGCAUUUGGAGAAGUUUUAGGUUGCUGACCUAAAGAGAAGAUUUCCAUGUGCACUGAGAUUCAGGACAGAAGAGACUUGCAGCAACCUUCUGAGAAUCUGCAGCUCCUGCACAGAAAAAGCUGCAAAGGCAAGCAGGGAUCGGACCCAGCCAAACUUCCCAGAGACAACAGUGACAGGCUUUUCUAUCUAACGGCCCUAAAACUCCAGGAAAGAGAUAUCUUUGUAAAUCCCUCACCGUGUUAUCAAAAAUCAACAUUUCUCAACCCUGUGAAGACACAGAUGUGCCAGAAAUACUGAAUGGACCAGAAAAGCCAGAGCAGGCACCAGCCAGCCUGCAGUGGUUUUUGACCAUUUUUAAACAGAUUGGUAAAUUUAUUAAUUUAUUCAACUACUGGAUUAAAGCUAGGUGCAGUCAGGAGUCCCUGAGACUAUAUGCGUGUGUAUUCCUAUUCUUAUUCUUCCUUGGUGCUCCCUAAGCUAAACAAUCAGACCUACACUGUGUCCUUCAAAAAACACUGUUAACCUGAAAUAGAAACUCCAAAGCAGCGGAUUAGAAACUUCAAAGCAAUCCCUCAUUUUCUUUUUUUUUUUUCUCCCCUGUAUUCAGGUAUCCCUUUGGGAUUUAGUUGUCAUUGUGUAUUAGCCGUAAUAAAAUUCAUA
Tympanuchus pallidicinctus (lesser prairie-chicken) is the source of this 748-nucleotide long non-coding RNA. RefSeq lists it as uncharacterized. The transcript is spliced from 3 exons. NCBI's taxonomy places the organism in Eukaryota, Metazoa, Chordata, Aves, Galliformes, Phasianidae. The record is from RefSeq and is a predicted model, not a curated record.